Molecule: long non-coding RNA, 101 nt
Organism: Lemur catta (Ring-tailed lemur)
Lineage: Eukaryota; Metazoa; Chordata; Mammalia; Primates; Lemuridae
Exons: 3
Source: RefSeq, a predicted model, not a curated record
CAGGAUGAAAGUGACUGGUCCUUACCCUCAAGCUGCUUAUCUGAUUUGGGAGUCUGAGACAUUUGGUGCAAGAUGGUGUCAUCCAGCAGCUAGAGGCUAAA